GGUCGCGUCCGCGUUAAAGUGAAAUAAAUUGUCAAAUAUUACAAAAAUUGUGUUAGGAAUGGUGUUAAUUUUUGUAAAACCUCAUUAUUGUGCCGUUAUUAAAUAUGAAAGUGAUGAAAUUAGUGCAAAAUAUAGCCUAAAAAGGCUGAAAUCCAAUAUUUAAAUUUUCUUGAUAAGUGCGUUGAAGUCGUUGUUGGUAAAUUAGCGAAUUAGUGAGUGCCGUCAUACGAUACUCCCGUUAAGUGUUCGAUGUAUGUGCAUGUGUAUGUGUUGUGCAAGAAGAUGUGUUGUGCAGAAGAUGGGUUGUGUUGCUGUGAAUCGCCAGAAAGGUUGGAAAAAAACGGCGUAUUCUUUGUCAAUGUUAAAGUCCUAGUGCAGUUUCUAAAAACAGCGAAAUACAAGACCAUUAAGUUUUAAGAAAAUAAUAAAGUGUGCAGUAAAGGUUUUUAAAAGGUUUUUCAAAGAAAUGAAAAUAUAAUAUUACAAAAUGAGAAAGAAAAAUUCAAAAUGUUGUUGUUGCUAAAUAACCAAAGAAGCCAAAUGUCGUCAUCCGCUAAUCCCGUUAAGUGUAUGGCCAGCCUUGGAAAGUGUUGUGUUAUGUGAGAUGAUAGGUUGGUUGUAUUAAUGUGAGUUGCCACAUUGGAAAAAAUGAGUAUCGGCAUUGUAACUGCCGCGGUUAAAAUCAUUUGCAAUUAUAAAAUAAAAAGUUUCAAAGAAAUAUAGAUGUGUGCAGUUUCAACCUUAAAGGUACUAGUGCGGUAAUAAAAUAAUGUGUUUCUACUUCUACGAAGAGUCUCAAAAAAUUUUAGUGUUGUUAAUUUUGUUGUUGGUUCAAAAGUGCCGUCAUGUUGAUAAGCAUAUGUAAGUGUUGGGUUAUAUGAGUAUAUGAGCUGUCUUACUAAGAGUUGCCACAUCAAUAAAAUUAAGAAUAAACAUUUUUGUUGCCAUAAUUUAAUAAUGAAAAAAAUAAAAUAAAUAAAUAAAUUAAAAAAUGUAGAAAAAUAAAAUAAUAAAAAGUAAAAAAAUGUAAGUUUUGGUUAUUUUCAUGUCGGCAUAUGUGUAAUAAGUGUUGUGUUUAUUUGAUUUGCACAUAGUCCUAUGGCAAUGAGUGAAAGCAGUAAAAUAAAAGUUUAUACAGUUUCAGAGGAAUUUUAAGAAGUGCAGCAUACAACUUAAAGCACCAAUCAAGAAAAUGUACAAAAAUAAUUGAAAUAGGACGCGCAACAAACAAGAAAAUG
Stomoxys calcitrans (stable fly) is the source of this 1238-nucleotide long non-coding RNA. RefSeq lists it as uncharacterized. The transcript has 4 exons. The record is from RefSeq and is a predicted model, not a curated record. Lineage: Eukaryota; Metazoa; Arthropoda; Insecta; Diptera; Muscidae.